Molecule: ribosomal RNA, 499 nt
Filed under: uncultured Glomeromycotina
Lineage: Eukaryota; Fungi; Glomeromycota
Description: partial small subunit ribosomal RNA
Rfam family: Eukaryotic small subunit ribosomal RNA
Source: RNAcentral
CCAAUAGCGUAUAUUAAAGUUGCUGCAGUUAAAAAGCUCGUAGUUGAAUUUCGGGAUCGAUAUAUCGGUCGUGCCUCGGUACGUACUGGUAUUUUCGGUUUCUCCCUUCUGACGAACCUUGAUGUCAUUAAUUUGGUGUCUUGGGGAAUCAGGACUGUUACUUUGAAAAAAUUAGAGUGUUUAAAGCAGGCUCACGCUUGAAUACAUUAGCAUGGAAUAAUGAAAUAGGACGUUUGAUUCUAUUUUGUUGGUUUCUAGGAUCGACGUAAUGAUUAAUAGGGAUAGUUUGGGGCAUUAGUAUUCAAUUGUCAGAGGUGAAAUUCUUGGAUUUAUUGAAGACUAACUACUGCGAAAGCAUUUGCCAAGGAUGUUUUCAUUAAUCAAGAACGAAAGUUAGGGGAUCGAAGACGAUCAGAUACCGUCGUAGUCUUAACCAUAAACUAUGCCGACUAGGGAUCGGAUGAUGUUAAUUUUUUAAUGACUCAUUCGGCGCCUUACG